UCCAUGCUGGGCCUCUUCCCUGUCACGCCC
RNAcentral lists this non-coding RNA (30 nucleotides) under Homo sapiens (human). Lineage: Eukaryota; Metazoa; Chordata; Mammalia; Primates; Hominidae. The record is from RNAcentral.